UUCUCAAAACAUAGUACCGCAUAAAAUUCUCUGCCCUAAUCUCCGUCUACCUAGCGUUAGAGCCGGUCUCACUCGUCUGGUCGUGUGCGAAAUCGAUCAACUGAUCAUCUGCCCUAGUUUCCAUCUCCUCCUUUGAGAAUCCAAGAUCUUCUUCUUCUUCUUCUCUAACAUUAAAAAAUUGGAUAAAUUUGAGAGUGUUAACAUGAAUGAUCAUCGUGAUCAUAUCUUCGCAUGGAUGAAAGAGUUAUAGAACAAAUGGAGAGGACACUUUCAUGCAAAAUAUGUGAAGGAUAAGCCAAUCCAACAGGCUCUUAAGAAUAUUCCAAAGGGAGUAGACAAGAACGAAUGGGAGUGGUUAGUAAAAGAACAUUUUUCUUCAGAAAGUUUUCAGGCGAGAAGCAACAGGAAUGCGGCAAAUCGAGCUAAGUUGAAGAUGCUUCAUCAUAUUGGUAGCAAGCCUAUUCGUGAGAUCAUUUAUCAAAAGGGCGGAAAAGAUGGCAACCCACCGGAUUUGACAACAAUUUUCUUUGAGACCCGUAAGAAAGAUAACAAGCUUGUUGAACCUUGCCACAUCUUGUGAAUUCUAUGAGAAACUUGCCACAUCUUAAUUUGAAUUAUAUUGGUUUUGAAGAUUGAAGCUACAAGUCAAGAUACAAGUUUAGAAGAUGCACAAGUUCAUUAUUAUUUUGCUAGGGCUGUUAUGCAAAACUUGAUAUCAUAGUCUAGCUCAGGAUGUUAGCUAAGUUUUUUUGUUAAGGUGUUGAGCAAAUAUUGAAACUAAUUAACAUCAUCAUGGGAUAUUAACUUGAUAUAUUAUAUUUUUAUAUUUAGAUUUUC
Long non-coding RNA from Nicotiana attenuata, 837 nucleotides. RefSeq lists it as uncharacterized. The record is from RefSeq and is a predicted model, not a curated record. Lineage: Eukaryota; Viridiplantae; Streptophyta; Magnoliopsida; Solanales; Solanaceae. The transcript is spliced from 6 exons.